This is a long non-coding RNA of Vespula pensylvanica (western yellowjacket), 327 nucleotides long. RefSeq lists it as uncharacterized. The record is from RefSeq and is a predicted model, not a curated record. The transcript is spliced from 2 exons. Lineage: Eukaryota; Metazoa; Arthropoda; Insecta; Hymenoptera; Vespidae.
GUUAUCUAGAUAGAAAUUUAUAUUUUUUUCGAUUUAAAUCGAUAAUUAUCGAGAUCGUUGGUCAUUAUAGAUCGAUUCGUUCGUCUAUUGCGCGAUUGAGUUUCGAGAUUUUGUAAGUGUAAAAAAAACAGAAAAAAAAGGAAGGAAGUAAAAGAAAAAAGAAAGAAGAAAGAAAAAAGAAAAGAAGAAAAUGGGGACAAGAUACUUAUUCGAGUGUCGAGCUUAGUCGAAUAAGAGGAGUAUCAACGUUAGGGAUCGUAAACUGGUAACAUCCGCCGAUCAAAUAAACCAGAACAGACGACGAUCGAUUAUUUCGUUCGAUUGAAA